UUCGGUAAGCACCCGUUUUAUAAAGCGGCAGUUAUUUCCCAACAGUAUCAGUUUUUUAGGAACCGGUUUGCCUGGUUUUACUACAACCGUCUCACACCAAAAAAGAAAAACAUCACGACGGGCGGUGGCGAGCUGUGCUCAACUCCACGUACACGCGCACACACACAGGGCCAUGUAAGCUCUCCGUGGUGAGAAUGAUGAGUAUCGACAGGACGAGAACCCCGGCCCCUGUCGGUCCCCUGCCCACCAUUACCGCUCUGCCCAUAGCAGCCUGCAGUCUGAAUGCAUAAUGCUUGCUUCCUGGCCGGCUGAUUCAACCUGUACCGUGGAAAUAAAAAGAAAGGCAACCCUUCAUCUCUUCGAGAUACAGUCCGCGGGUGGUGUCUUCCUGAGGAUUUUUUCUUCUUUUCUUCUCUUUUCUUUUGGCUUAUCGCUCAAUAGUCCAGUGGUUUGUGACAAACACACUAUGGAGAUGUUGGGCAGAAGAACAGGACAGCUUAAGUAUCCGAGGGUCUGUGGUUUUGUGGAAGGAAACGUGGUUUCUAC
Long non-coding RNA from Neolamprologus brichardi, 546 nucleotides. RefSeq lists it as uncharacterized. NCBI's taxonomy places the organism in Eukaryota, Metazoa, Chordata, Actinopteri, Cichliformes, Cichlidae. The record is from RefSeq and is a predicted model, not a curated record.